GGCCUUGUACACACCGCCCGUCACACCACGAGAGUUUGUAACACCCGAAGUCGGUGAGGUAACCUUUUUGGAGCCAGCCGCCUAAGGUGGGAUAGAUGAUUGGGGUGAAGUCGUAACAAGGUAGCCGUAUCGGAAGGUGCGGCUGGAUCACCUCCUUUCUAAGGAA
Molecule: ribosomal RNA, 166 nt
Filed under: Enterococcus faecium
Lineage: Bacteria; Bacillati; Bacillota; Bacilli; Lactobacillales; Enterococcaceae
Also listed under: 1 other name
Description: partial 16S ribosomal RNA
Rfam family: Bacterial small subunit ribosomal RNA
Source: RNAcentral